RNAcentral lists this ribosomal RNA (2214 nucleotides) under uncultured gamma proteobacterium HF0200_24F15. RNAcentral describes it as "bacterial LSU rRNA". It matches the Rfam family "Bacterial large subunit ribosomal RNA", at positions 3 to 2253 of the family's 2925-position model. The record is from RNAcentral. Lineage: Bacteria; Pseudomonadati; Pseudomonadota; Gammaproteobacteria.
UCAAGCGACUAAGCGCACAUGGUGGAUGCCUUGGCGGCAAGAGGCGAUGAAGGACGUGGUAGCCUGCGAUAAGCUUCGGGUAGCCGGCAAACAGGCUCUGAUCCGGAGAUUUCCGAAUGGGGAAACCUGGCCUUUCGAGGUCAUCACGCGCUGAAUACAUAGGCACGUGAAGCGAACCUGGGGAACUGAAAUAUCUAAGUACCCAGAGGAAAAGAAAUCAACCGAGAUUUCCAUAGUAGCGACGAGCGAACCGGAAAUAGCCCUUAAGUCGUGUUUUCGUUAGCAGAACGGUCUGGAAAGUCCGGCCAUAGAAGGUGAUAGCCCCGUACGCGAAAACGAAUACACGAUGAAAUCGAGUAGGGCGGGACACGUGGAAUCCUGUCUGAACAUGGGGGGACCAUCCUCCAAGGCUAAAUACUACUUGCCGACCGAUAGUGAACCAGUACCGUGAGGGAAAGGCGAAAAGAACCCCUGUUAGGGGAGUGAAAUAGAACCUGAAACCGCGUGCGUACAAGCAGUGGGAGCCUAGCUUCGGCUGGGUGACUGCGUACCUUUUGUAUAAUGGGUCAGCGACUUACAUCUCAGUGGCAAGCUUAACCGAAUAGGGGAAGCGUAGCGAAAGCGAGUCUUAAUAGGGCGCCUCAGUCGCUGGGAGUAGACCCGAAACCGGACGAUCUAGCCAUGGCCAGGUUGAAGGUCGGGUAAUACCGACUGGAGGACCGAACCAACUGACGUUGAAAAGUCAGUGGAUGAGCUGUGGCUAGGAGUGAAAGGCUAAACAAGUCCGGAGAUAGCUGGUUCUCCCCGAAAGCUAUUUAGGUAGUGCCUCGUGUCUCACUUCUGGGGGUAGAGCACUGUUAUGGCUAGGGCCACACCUAGUGGUACCAAACCAUUGCAAACUCCGAAUACCAGAAAGUGCAAUCACGGGAGUCAGACGGCGGGAGAUAAGUUUCGUCGUCGAAAGGGAAACAGCCCAGACCGCCAGCUAAGGUCCCCAAAUCACAGCUCAGUGGGAAACGAUGUGGGAAGGCCCAGACAGCCAGGAGGUUGGCUUAGAAGCAGCCAUCCUUUAAAGAAAGCGUAACAGCUCACUGGUCAAGUCGGCCUGCGCGGAAGAUGUACCGGGGCUAAGCUGUGUACCGAAGCUGCGGAUGCAAGCUUGCUUGCAUGGUAGGGGAGCGUUCUGUAGGCCUGCGAAGGUGUGCCGUAAGGCAUGCUGGAGGUAUCAGAAGUGCGAAUGCUGACGUGAGUAACGAUAAAGGGGGUGAAAGACCCCCUCGCCGGAAGUCCAAGGUUUCCUGCGCAACGUUAAUCGGCGCAGGGUUAGUCGGCCCCUAAGGCGAGGCUGAAAAGCGUAGUCGAUGGGCAACAGGUUAACAUUCCUGUACCACGCGUAAUUGCGAUGGGGGGACGGAGAAGGCUAGACCAGCCGGGCGACGGUUGUCCCGGUUUAAGCAAGUAGGGAGUGUUCCGAGGUAAAUCCAGGAGCGCAAUCCCGAGAUGUGAUGACGAGGUUUCUUUUGAAACCGAAGUGGUUGAUGCCAUGCUUCCAGGAAAAUCCUCUAAGCUUCAGAUUACGUGUGACCGUACCCCAAACCGACACAGGUGGACAGGGCGAGAAGCCCAAGGCGCUUGAGAGAACUCGGGUGAAGGAACUCGGCAAAAUGACACCGUAACUUCGGGAGAAGGUGUACCCUCAUUACGUGAUAGCCCUCGCGGCUAAAGCGGAAGAGGGUUGCAACAAAGAGGUGGCUGCGACUGUUUAUUAAAAACAUAGCACUCUGCAAACUCGCAAGAGGACGUAUAGGGUGUGACGCCUGCCCGGUGCCGGAAGGUUAAUUGAUGGGGUUAGUCUUCGGACGAAGCUCUUGAUCGAAGCCCCGGUGAACGGCGGCCGUAACUAUAACGGUCCUAAGGUAGCGAAAUUCCUUGUCGGGUAAGUUCCGACCUGCACGAAUGGCGUAACGAUGGCCACACUGUCUCCACCCGGGACUCAGUGAAAUCGAAAUUGCUGUGAAGAUGCAGUGUACCCACACCAAGACGGAAAGACCCCGUGCACCUUUACUACAACUUCACACUGGACUUUGAACAUGGCUGUGUAGGAUAGGUGGGAGGCUAUGAAACCAGGACGCUAGUUUUGGUGGAGCCAACCUUGAAAUACCACCCUGUUAUGUUUGGUGCCCUAACCGAAAUCCGUUAUCCGGAUUCGGAACA